Molecule: microRNA precursor, 76 nt
Filed under: Phlebotomus papatasi
Lineage: Eukaryota; Metazoa; Arthropoda; Insecta; Diptera; Psychodidae
Description: microRNA mir-3
Source: RNAcentral
UUUUUUGACGAAAAUUGCUCCCAAUGUGUAGACGCCUUAAAAGCCUCUACACAUUGGGAGCAAUUUUUGUCAAAAA